UGCAUUCACUACUGUAAGUCGCUCUGGAUAUGAGCGUCUGCUAAAUGACGUGUG
This is a non-coding RNA of Salmo salar (Atlantic salmon), 54 nucleotides long. The record is from Rfam. Lineage: Eukaryota; Metazoa; Chordata; Actinopteri; Salmoniformes; Salmonidae.